UGCGUGCUCCAGGCCUUAACCCUUGAGUAAACACGAGGAGCAGGAUGAUCCCGGUGGAGGGAGCCCAGCUUGGCCUGAUCCUCAUUCCUGCUGCCAUGUGUGAAGAGAGAUGGAGGGAGAUACAUCCAGGGUGCAGAGCUGGGCAUGCACCAAGGGCAGCAUGUCCAAAGUCUCCCCCCCUACAGGAGCCUGCAAGAAACUAUUCCUCUUCCUGGACCCUAAAAAGGAGAAUUAUUUCCUUCCCCAGGUUAGAGGAAAUGUAGAAAAUAUGAUCUCUGAGGGAGGAGUGACAGAAUUGUUUGGUCCAGAGGAGCCAAGCCUGGGACAGCUGGGGAUGAACUGACCUCCAGCCCCCCCUUCACAGCUGCACUUCCUGCCCUGCU
Long non-coding RNA from Manacus vitellinus (golden-collared manakin), 383 nucleotides. RefSeq lists it as uncharacterized. NCBI's taxonomy places the organism in Eukaryota, Metazoa, Chordata, Aves, Passeriformes, Pipridae. The record is from RefSeq and is a predicted model, not a curated record. The transcript has 3 exons.